This 253-nucleotide ribosomal RNA is filed under the name uncultured bacterium. RNAcentral's name for it is "partial 16S ribosomal RNA". It matches the Rfam family "Bacterial small subunit ribosomal RNA", at positions 524 to 776 of the family's 1533-position model. The record is from RNAcentral.
UACGUAGGGGGCAAGCGUUGUCCGGAUUUAUUGGGCGUAAAGAGCGUGUAGGCGGCCAGGUAGGUCGGUUGUGAAAACUCGAGGCUCAACCUCGAGAUGUCGACCGAAACCAUCUGGCUAGAGUCCGGAAGAGGAGAAUGGAAUUCCCGGUGUAGCGGUGAAAUGCGCAGAUAUCGGGAAGAACACCCGUGGCGAAGGCGGUUCUCUGGGACGGUACUGACGCUGAGGCGCGAAAGCCAGGGGAGCAAACGGG